This is a long non-coding RNA of Triticum dicoccoides, 293 nucleotides long. RefSeq lists it as uncharacterized. The record is from RefSeq and is a predicted model, not a curated record. The transcript is spliced from 3 exons. Lineage: Eukaryota; Viridiplantae; Streptophyta; Magnoliopsida; Poales; Poaceae.
GUCUACAAGAAUACACAGAAGGAAAUACUUGGUAGCUACUUUCACUCGUGAUUUUGGCCGAUUUAGAGUUGGUUUUCGAAGAUGGUGAAGUUGAAGAAAAGAUAGAUUAAGGCAUUAUUUCAGCACUUGGAGGAGUCAUUUGGAGUUUCUGGAGUAGGAUUUGCCGUGCUAAGUGAAGUACGAAGGGGGAGAUCAAGGUUGACUCUGUUCAUAUAUUACUGGUGACGGAUAUUUAUUCGAACUAUUUGGACGCUUAAUUGCAUUUGCAAGCACAUCCAUAUUGGACCUAAGGU